ACUUAUUUUCAACUUAAUUGUGAAGAGAUGUGCAAACUUUGAUUUAAAAUCAAUCAUUCAUUCAUUAGUUAUUAAAAUUUAAAUCUACUAUAGGAAUUACUUAGAAUUAUUUAGAGUUUGGUUAAGAUAUGUUUAGGAUUUGAUUAGCAUUUGGAUAAGUUUUUCUUAGGAUUUGAUUAGGAUUUGAUUAAGAUUUUUUUAGGAUUUGAUUAAGGUUUGGCUAAAAUUUGUUAAGAUUUGACUAGGAUUUGGUUAAAAUUUGUUAGGAUUUAAGUAGAAUUAGAUUACGGUUUGUUUAAGAUUUAAUUAAGAUUUAUUUAGGAUUUGGUUAAAAUUUAAUUAGGAUUAGUUUAAGAUUUUUAGGAUUUAUUUAGGAUUUGAUCAGAGUUUGGUUAGGAUUUAUUGAAAUUUGAUUAGGAUUUGAUUGGGAUUUGUUUAAGAUUUGUUAAGGAUUUGACUAGGAUUUGGUUAAGAUUUGUUUAGGAUUUGAUUAGGAUUUGUUUAAGAUUUGUUAAGGAUUUGACUAGGAUUUGGUUAAGAUUUGUUUAGAAUUUGAUUAAGAUUGAUUAAGGUUUUUUUAGGAUUUGAUAAGGAUUUAAUUAGGAUUUAUUUAGGAUUUGGUUAGAAUUUGACUAGUAUUUAAUUAAGAUUUCUAUUUUAAAUUUUAUUAAGUUUUCUAUUUUUCUAUAUUUUUAAAUUCUAUAUUAUUUCUUUACUUUUCCUUUAAAGAUUCUUUAAAAAUACUUUGUGUUUCUUAUAUAAUUUCUUUGAAAUUUUGA
RNAcentral lists this long non-coding RNA (779 nucleotides) under Physcomitrium patens. Its description in RNAcentral is "long non-coding RNA (PPAT_LNC005545)". Lineage: Eukaryota; Viridiplantae; Streptophyta; Bryopsida; Funariales; Funariaceae. The record is from RNAcentral.